GACGAACGCUGGCGGCGUGCUUAACACAUGCAAGUCGAACGGUGAAGGGGUCUGCUUUUGUGGGCCCUGGAUGAGUGGCGCACGGGUGAGUAACACGUGAGUAACCUGCCCCCUUCUUCUGGAUAACCGCAUGAAAGUGUGGCUAAUACGGGAUAUUCUGGGUCUGUCGCAUGAUGGGUCUGGGAAAGAUUGCGCCUUUGGGUGUUUUUGGUGGGGGAUGGGCUCGCGGCCUAUCAGCUUGUUGGUGGGGUGAUGGCCUACCAAGGCGGUGACGGGUAGCCGGCCUGAGAGGGUGGACGGUCACACUGGGACUGAGACACGGCCCAGACUCCUACGGGAGGCAGCAGUGGGGAAUAUUGCACAAUGGGCGCAAGCCUGAUGCAGCGACGCCGCGUGAGGGGUGGAGGCCUUCGGGGUGUAAACCUCUUUCGCCAGUGAAGCAGGCCUGCUCCUUGUGGGUGGGUUGACGGUAGCUGGAUAAGAAGCGCCGGCUAACUACGUG
RNAcentral lists this ribosomal RNA (502 nucleotides) under uncultured bacterium. RNAcentral's name for it is "partial 16S ribosomal RNA". It matches the Rfam family "Bacterial small subunit ribosomal RNA", at positions 28 to 507 of the family's 1533-position model. The record is from RNAcentral.